UAUUUAUGUGUAGAUGCAAAUGAAUGCAAUAGAUAUUUAAAAAUAGCAUAUCAUACCACCUGCAGGUGGAGGUGGUGGGAGGAAAGCAUGGCUGAUGCCAAAUAUUUGAUCUGCACUUUGAUCCAGCUGCAGGGUUCUGGCAGGUGCCCUUAGAAAAACAGGGCAUGCAUAUUGCUACAUAUUCAAUGGCCCUUCGGGAAGCUGCUGCUUCCUGUGAGCCCUGCUUGGGCUGUGCUCGGUGCCCAGUGUGCCUAUGGAUGCAUGAAGAGUUUUGGGCUAUACAGAGAAGACACUGGGAUCCAGGGAAAAGCAGUAGGAGGAGAAGCUGGCGGUUCUGAGGAAAACUGGAGCUCCUGGGCACACAAACAAAGCUGUGAAUCCUGUGUAAUAGAAACAGAAUACUCAUCAUGUCUCCACACACAGAUAUGGACAACCACAUAUACUGCAGCAUUCAAUCCUGCUGUUCUUCAGUGCUGAAAACAUCUAUCAGUUUCCUUGGGAGUCUGGAAGUGUCCAGGAGAUGUGUGUUUGAGCCCUCAGCAGGGUACAAUUCAGACCAACUGGUUCCUCAGCUACAUCAGCAUGGACUGACCCAGGGAGCACUGCAUUCAGGGUGAAUGCUGGCAGCUUCAUGCCUUGAACCCAAAAUAUGCAAUACAUUCUUUGCUGCAGAGCUGGCUGCAGCAGAAAGCAGAACACAUGCUUUCUAUUCACCUUGAUUGUACUUAAUAAACAGCAUUAAACACUCUCA
Long non-coding RNA from Gallus gallus (chicken), 751 nucleotides. RefSeq lists it as uncharacterized. NCBI's taxonomy places the organism in Eukaryota, Metazoa, Chordata, Aves, Galliformes, Phasianidae. The record is from RefSeq and is a predicted model, not a curated record. The transcript is spliced from 2 exons.